GACCCGUCCUUAAACACGGACCAAGGAGUCUAGCAAAUGCGCGAGUAAUUGGGUGAUAAACCUAAAAGCGUAAUGAAAGUGAAGGUCGUCUUGAUACGGCUGAUAUGUGAUGCGUGUUGUCAACGACUUCACGUUGCAGCAUAGCCCCGUCCUUGUUGCAUGCAAUAGGGCGGAGGAAGAGCGCAUAUGCUGGGACCCGAAAGAUGGUGAACUAUGCCUGAGCAGGAUGAAGCCAGAGGAAACUCUGGUGGAGGUCCGAAACGGUUCUGACGUGCAAAUCGAUCGUCUGACUUGGGUAUAGGGGCGAAAGACUAAUCGAACCAUCUAGUAGCUGGUUCCUUC
RNAcentral lists this ribosomal RNA (342 nucleotides) under Ascaridia numidae. RNAcentral describes it as "eukaryotic LSU rRNA". It matches the Rfam family "Eukaryotic large subunit ribosomal RNA", at positions 646 to 961 of the family's 3401-position model. The record is from RNAcentral. Lineage: Eukaryota; Metazoa; Nematoda; Chromadorea; Rhabditida; Ascaridiidae.